GGGGCUGACCUGGAUUUGACAGCGAGGCUAGGUGAUGUGUAAGCAUGCCGAGCAAUGUGAUACCGGCUCGUAAAUCAUGGAUCGCAACAUUUUAUCUGGCGAAGAAAAUUACGCUCUCGCUGCUUAAUCGAAGUAUAGUAGAUUAGCAUCAUCCUUGCUCAAGGAGCUUGGACGAGACACUUUCCGGGUGCCGAUUCCCGAGGCGGCCCGAUUCGGAGGUGUAGGAAUAUUGGGAAUAGUCUGCGGACGGCCUCUGUCCAAAGGCGAAAAUCUAAGAGGCUAAGGAGAUGUCGGGGUGUCUGUUCCCAAACCUCUCACAAAAACCAAUAACAGAAUAAGCAUGUAGAAAGCAUAUGACUUACUUGUUUGGACGAGGGUUCGAUCCCCUCCAGCUCCACUU
RNAcentral lists this transfer-messenger RNA (400 nucleotides) under Marinilabiliaceae. RNAcentral's name for it is "Geofilum sp002427105 Standard tmRNA". It matches the Rfam family "transfer-messenger RNA". From Rfam's summary of the family: Bacterial tmRNA, also known as 10Sa RNA or SsrA, is named for its dual tRNA and mRNA-like properties. Its role is to liberate the mRNA from a stalled ribosome. To accomplish this part of the tmRNA is used as a reading frame that ends in a translation stop signal. RNAcentral also lists the same sequence under 1 other name. Lineage: Bacteria; Pseudomonadati; Bacteroidota; Bacteroidia; Marinilabiliales. The record is from RNAcentral.